Molecule: long non-coding RNA, 1883 nt
Filed under: Olea europaea subsp. europaea
Lineage: Eukaryota; Viridiplantae; Streptophyta; Magnoliopsida; Lamiales; Oleaceae
Source: RNAcentral
GAAAAAUCUGUAAGCCGGCAGAGAAGGAGAAAAAAAUUGGCAGAAAAAAAAAAGGGAAGAAAAAGAAGGAGAAAAAGGAAAAGAAAAAGAGGAAGAAGAAGGGAAAGAGGUAGUUUAAGGCUUAUUUUCAUUUUUCUCUUCUCUUUAUUUUCUUCAAGGGGUAGAUAAAUUUUAUGUUAAAUUUCUAGGGUUUUAAUUUGGUUCGAAAUUUCAGAUUUAGAGAAAGGAUUAUGAUCUAUAGCUCAAGCUUCUUGAUUGGUUCGUCUCCAUUUGAAUUAAGGUAAGAAAUAUCAAAUUUUUUUGGGCAAACCCUAGAAUUUUUAAUUGGAUUCUUAAGUAAGAAUAUUUCAUGGAAAUGAUUAUAUUGAUGGAAUACUCAUAUGAAAGCAUGAAGUUGAGAAACAAGAUGAAUGUUUAAAUGGGUGGAAUUAUGGUUACUAGUUUGCUAUUGGAAAGUAUAAUUAUUUUUAUGAAUGGGAUGAAAGUAAAAUUAGCUCCAAUUGAUUAAAAUAAAUUUAGGAAAAUUUGGCAAGUUUCAGGAAAUUUAGUUUAAUUAUUAUAUCAUUAGAGAUAAAGGGUUUAUUGAUUUUAAUUGUGAUUAAAUUAGUUAUUUUGUAACGUAUUUCAAGUAGUGACGAAGAAAUUGAAAAGACUUACCGAUCGGCCUAGUUUGUAGCUCGUAUAGUGUAAGUGGAUAUAAAUUUAUUUUUCAGAAAUUAGUAUUUAAAAAAUUCAUAUUAAAUCAGAAAAUUUAUUAAUGCAUACAGUUGAAUUGACAGUACGAUUUUCAGAAUAAAGUUGAUUUAUAAACAGUUUUUUUAAGUUAAAUUCAGUUCAGUUAAAUAAUUUCUUUGGCAUAUUAUUUCAGUAUUAAAUAGUUUAGCAUAUUUAAAAUUAUUUUCUAAAAAUCACCAGAAAAUAUCCAGGUGAUUUACCCGCUUUGCACUGGUGUGAAUGUGUUUCCACAGUGUAUGAUCAGUUAUGGUGAUUUUACCCGCUCUACACUAUUGUGAAUGUGUUUCCAUGGUAUAUGACUAGAUAGCUCUGUACGCGUAUGACUAAAAUUUCGAAAUUGGAUAGCUUUCCCAUGUCUAUCGGUGCUAAUUGAUACAUGAGUAAAGUUAUCCUGGUUGUCUUUUUGGUGUGAUUUUUUAGUAUUAUACAGCUUAUCAGAUUUGAGAAUACAGAAUUUAGCUUAUUCAAUUUAAAGAAUAGAGAUUUAGCUUUAAGUACUAUGUAAUGAUAUUUUUAUUAUAAACCAGUUUUUAGAAAGCUAGCAUAAAUGGAAAAAGUAUAUGAGUUUACAAAAUUAUUCGCUCACUGAGUUACGAGCUCAUAUAUUUCAUCUCCCUUUUUCUUAUGAGACAGUAGCUUUUCUUAUGAGACAGUAGCUGUGUUAAGCCGCAUUGGAGCCUAUUGAAUUACCAAAUUGAGCCACUCAAUUGUUAUUUGUAUGUUUAUUUUUGUUAGUUUAUACAGUUCAUAAUUUUUGGGGUAGAUGCAUCUUUUGUCAGUUUAUAUCGUGGCCUCAUUACAUAAUUUUGUAUAAGCAAUGCAUUUAGAGUCCUCUGGUUGGUUGUGUUUGGAAAGUUUGAUGUACCAUGUUUUAAAUUAUAUAUAUUGGUUUGAGAAAGUUGAUAAAAUUUUCAGGUGAUUUUAGUUCAUAUAUUAGAGGAAACUCUAUCAAAUUUUUAUAAAAUUAUCUCACAGCCAAAGCAAAUCAUAAUUGGCUUGGUGGUGGGUUCGGCAUUUAGCUGGUAUCCCUCAUUGACGCACGACACGUGUCGAAUCCAUUAGGGUGAUUCGGGACGGAUCGUGUCAAUGUAUGUUUGAUAACAUUUACUAUAGCAGGAAUACAAAUGAACCUGAUUAUCACAAAUUGU